Long non-coding RNA from Alligator sinensis (Chinese alligator), 4069 nucleotides. RefSeq lists it as uncharacterized. The record is from RefSeq and is a predicted model, not a curated record. The transcript is spliced from 2 exons. Lineage: Eukaryota; Metazoa; Chordata; Crocodylia; Alligatoridae.
AUUUUUAAAUCUGAAAUCAAAAUCUUCCUGGUUUUUCAGGUAAUUUGUGACAUGGGUUGCGGGGGAAUCUUGCUGUUCAUUAAAAGUUUAAACAGUGUGGAUGCUGUCUUGCAGCUAAGUUGUCUUUGCUAAAAUGUUCUCUCUUCACCCGAGCUAUGAAGAUGACUGCACUGUGGGAUGAGGUAGUAGGUUGUAUAGUUUUAGGGUCAUACCCACAACUGGGAGAUAACUAUACAAUCUACUGUCUUUCCUAAAGCAGCAGAAAAAUCAACAGUGGCAACUUCUCAAUUUGGAGUUCAUUGUCAUUGUACAGAAUUUCUGUUUCAAAGGUCUUAUAAACAUAAUGAAUAUAACUACAGCGUGUGAUAGUUUAUAUAUAUCUGUUCUCAUGAGGAUCAGCUUUUUACUGUUCUUUGUUAAAUUUUUCUUCCCCUUGAAGAAAACAGGUGUGCAAGAGUAUGUUUAAAGGAGAUACCCCCAGAUUUCUGGGGAAAAUUUAAGCUUAUGUUUCCAACAGUACUACCAAUGGCAGACGGUGUUAAUGUGGGUGCCCAUGUAAAUGUUGUUCAAAGAAAAAUAGCCGUACAACUAAGAUGUAUUUUCUGGAAGGACAGUACAGAUUUCUCUAUCAGAGUGAGGUAGUAGAUUGUAUAGUUGUGGGGUAGUUAUUUUACCCUGUUCAGGAGAUAACUAUACAAUCUAUUGCCUUCCCUGAGGAGUAAAACAAGUCUGCAGCUCUUACAUGGUAGUUGGUGUCCACAGAGAUUGGCUUGCAAGUGGAUUAUUCAAGUUAAGAUCCCACGUUAUUAAGUGGCUAGGAUCUGCACGUUAACAUGGCAUUUGACUACUACCACUCUUAUCCAAGGUGAGUGACAUAGCUGUAUAUUCAAGAUGCAUGGUCCACUGCUUAAUCUAAUUGAAAGUGUUCUGUAUGUAGAAAUACCUUUUGAAUACUAUAAAAUCUUUUUGGCUAGGGAAAAAAAGUAUUACAACUUCUUGGUUCUGAAUUUGAUUGCAGGUCUCUCAAAUUUCCAUGACUAGUCUAGACAUCAAAUUGAUGUCAGCUCAAAAGUGUUAAAACAUGUGCCUCAAUACCACCAUUGCAGCAGGGCACUAAAAUGCUGUGGAGCCCAACAGCUACAGUUUGUGAAUUUAAGCAAUACAUUUUAGGGUGAAAAUAUUAGCAAUAAGUUUUUUUCACCUUCCAAAUCUGUAAGGUGAGAUGAUGAUGAAGUUCAGUACCUUUGCUGGGAUUACUUCCUUCAGUUAACACGGAUAGCAUUAAAUGAGCAAUCCCUUUGACCCACUGAUUUAAGUUUAUUGGAAACUGUUAAGAACCAAGCAUCCAAACAUCAUUCUAUAUAUUCAGUAGGGGUGUGUGAAAUGGGCCUUGCUCGAUUUGGAUUCGUCCAAAUUGGGGACAGUGAUUUGAUUGAUCAAUUUGGAUCACUGCCCCCGAUUCAAUUCGGUUGAAUCUGAAGAUUCGGUGCUGAUUUAGAGAAUCAGCAGAUUGGUCAUAGACACAUCUUUAAAUGUUUUUUCUACAUACCUCAAGGUACCAGUGUAGCUUGUGAAUGCUGUGAUGCUGGGGCAGAUGGGGCGUCCCACAGGAGUGCAGGGGGCCCCUUCACAUGCUCAGCCGCAAACCCAGAAAUGAACUGGAAGUACUUCUGGGUCUGCUGGGGGACCCCCCUGCAGUCCCCUGACUUGGCGAUCGGCAGUGGGGAUCCCAGGUGCCCCAAGAGGCACCAGUUGCGAAGGCGGGGCAGUGUGCUUCCUGGUCUGCUGCCAAGCACACUAGGAGUCCUCCGCACUCCUGUGGAAUGUUCCAUGCACCCCAGCAUUGCAGCAUUCACGUGCUGUGCUGGUACCUCGAGGUAUAUAGACAAAAUAUCUAAAGCUGUGUCUAUCCGAAUCUUUCCUAUUUGAUUCGGAGAGAUUAAAGGGUCCUCUGAUUUGAUUUGGCGAUUUGGCCGCUGAAUCAGGCCGAAUCCCCACCAAAUCAAAUUGGGGACUGAAGCUUCGCACAGCCUUAAUAUUGACUCUAAUUUUGAGCAGUAAAAGAACAAGCUGAAGCAUAAAAGCCAAUUUUGAAUGGUAACCAUCUCAAAUGUAAACCGUGGAUGAGCUUUUGGUAUGGGAUAAGUAACUACAUGUUAAGUGUUUCUGAAGUAUCUGUUAAAACUGAGGAAUUAGAGUAGAGUUUAAGGUGAAAACUGAAGCAUUUGAAAACAAGCAUUUGACAGUUGAUUUAGUUGAGAUUCUUUAAAAAUAUCUGAGCUAAUGUUUCCGUUUCUGGUUUAAGCACUGUUACUGACUAGCCAUGUAAAUGAAUGUAAAUUUGUUCAUUUCUAAACAUGACAGGAAGUCAAAAGAACCUGGUUUAAAAAAAAAAUUAAAAAAAAAAAAAUUAACAACUUGCUGCACAGUGCAGCCACUAACUAGAAGAACUGCAAAAGAAACAGUGGGCUCCUAGGAAGAGGUAGUAGGUUGCAUAGUUUUAGGGCAGGGAUUUUGCUCACACGGAGUUAACUAUACAACCUGCUGCCUUUCUUAGGGCUUUAUUAUUACAACAGGACCAUUUGGGCUCAGUCUAAGCUGCUGCAGCUUUGAUAUGUGAAAACAGAAAUGGUAUAAGACAAGCCACUAUUCCUGAUCAUAUUAAGUUUUAAUGAAACUAAAAGGGGAUGUGGUAGCAACAGACUCAAGGCUGCUGACUUUUCUUUUUUGGAGGACAAAGCAGAAUUCUUGCUAUAUUCAUAAGAGUAAGUGCUGUGAUAGCUUAAUCUUGAAGGAGGUUAUGUUCAUUUCUUUAAGAUUCUCUCAAACUACAUUAGUACUUUAAGUGAUCUCUACUAUGAGUGAAUUUGCAAAUAUGGGAAAUGCCCCUUAUCUGUUGAGGGGUAACUUUGUUUUUUUUUUAUAAAAGGUAUUGUUUGAAGCUUCUGCUGCCAACUCCAUGAAAGUUGCAUGCUUUUUUUUCUAAACAAAGUAAUGUGUAUAGCAUCUGGCCUAAGGAUCUGAAAAGAUGCUAUAAAUCAUAAAGUUAACUAUUGAACAGGGAUGACUGUGAUUGAAGGGGAAUUGAAACCAGAUUAAAACAAAUCCAAUGCUGCAUGAAUUUCAAGAAGCAACCUAAAGGAAUGGAGUAGUGGUCUUGCACAGACUUCCAAUAUACGAACAACUUCAUAACUGCACUACAUAUUAAACUUUAAUUCUUGCAGGACUGUCCCAUGCUACCAGAGGACAGUUGGCAUGUAAUCCAAUACUACUACUACUGCUGCUAUUGUGUAAAUCUUUUAUCUGUGUCACACUUCCUUUCUCAAAACACAUUAUGCUUAUAAAAGCAGACAUAUUACAUUUUAUUUCAGUCUUGGUUUGUCCUUGUUCUCAUUGGAAAUAUGUUAGAUUGUAUUGAUGGAGUUCAUAUGACUGUAUAUUUGACUUAUUAAAAUUGUAUUCUAAUCAGCAGUUGUCAGUCUCUUUACCUCAGUGGGACCUUCCUUCUAUAGAAUGGAAAGUGAGGCUUCUGUCCCAAGAUACUUUAUUCUAAAACAGGGGUGUCAAACUUGCAUCCCAGAGGCUGGGUCCAAUUGGAGUUGCAUCAUCUGGCUUAUGGGCCUUCCCACUGCGGGGGUGUUGCUAACUGGAGACAAGUGAUGGCUGUGUUGUUCCCUGCCACAGGGCACCUCACGGGCUAGAUCCAGAGGUAGGGGUUGAGUUUGACAAAUCUGCUCUAAAGCAGUGGUUCUUAACCUUUUUUUGUACCAGGACCCAUUUGUAAAUGUCAGUAGCCAGCCACAGCCCUCCAGUUAUGGGGCAGGGGGGACCCAAGCAGCCCUUCACAGGUUGGAACUGUGUAAGCCUGCAAGGGAAAAGCCACGGUUCCCUACAUUUUUCUACUUUAAAGGAGAAUCCAUUAUUUAAAAUUUGUAUUUAUUUUUUAAGUUUGUGACCCUUUCAUAUAUUCUUGCAACCCACUUUUGGGCCACGGCGCACAAGUUGAAAAAUGCUCUAUAAAAGAUGCAACAAACCUGCAUAAUUGAAAUUAAAAAAAAAAAAAAAAAAA